GAGAGAGACUUGAUCGUAACGACAACUGCUAAUUUUCGCCCUUCUGGUUUAAUUCCAGAACUCACUCG
Molecule: transfer RNA, 68 nt
Filed under: Diapteron cyanostictum (Gabon jewelfish)
Lineage: Eukaryota; Metazoa; Chordata; Actinopteri; Cyprinodontiformes; Nothobranchiidae
Description: Aphyosemion cyanostictum (Gabon jewelfish) tRNA-Ser
Source: RNAcentral